AUAUCUCUGUAGAGUCUGCAUAUCAAUAAGCGGAGGAAAAGAAACUAACUAGGAUUCCCUCAGUAACGGGGAGUGAAGCGGGAAGAGCUCAAAUUUGAAAUCUUCAAGGUUCUACCUUGACGAAUUGUAGUUUAAAGAAGUGUUUUCUGUUGGAGUUUUGGUAAAAGUUCUUUGGAAUAGGACAUCAUAGAGGGUGAGAAUCCCGUAUUUGACCAUUACUUUCCAGCGUUGUGAUACACUUUCAAAGAGUCGGAUUGUUUGGGAAUGCAGUCCAAAAUGGGUGGUAAAUUUCAUCUAAAGCUAAAUAUUGGCGAGAGACCGAUAGCGAACAAGUACCGUGAGGGAAAGAUGAAAAGAACUUUGAAAAGAGAGUUAAACAGUACGUGAAAUUGUCAAAAGGGAAGCGUUUGACACCAGUGUUGUUUUUCCAAAAAUCAAUUACGAAUGGCUUGAUUUUGUGUUGUAUUGACCUUAUCAGCUUUCUGCACUUUUUUGGAGUCUUUCUUAAUGCACUUUUCGGUUAACAAGUCAACAUCAAUUUCUUUUGUUGUAAAAGAGUAUUCGGAAGGUGGCUUUCUUUUCGGAGAAAGUGUUUAUAGCCCUAUACUUCUACAAUCGGAGAGAUUGAGGUCUGCAGCGUAGAUCCUUCGGGGUUAGAUACACUUGUGCUAAGUUGUAGCUUUUCAUAGACAACUUGUUGACUAUGUUUAGUCAUGCGGCUUACUCGCUUGUGCUAUUUUACCUACGCUUAGGAUGUUGAAGAUGUAGCACAUCAU
RNAcentral lists this ribosomal RNA (776 nucleotides) under uncultured Neocallimastigales. RNAcentral describes it as "partial large subunit ribosomal RNA". It matches the Rfam family "Eukaryotic large subunit ribosomal RNA", at positions 24 to 643 of the family's 3401-position model. The record is from RNAcentral. Lineage: Eukaryota; Fungi; Neocallimastigomycota; Neocallimastigomycetes; Neocallimastigales.